GUGUUCACUUCAGCAGCAUAUACACUAAAAUUGGAAUGAUACAGAGAUUAGCAUGGCCCUUGCACAAGGAUGGCAAGCAAAUUCUUGAAGUGUUCCAUAUUUUU
Otolemur garnettii (small-eared galago) is the source of this 104-nucleotide small nuclear RNA. NCBI's taxonomy places the organism in Eukaryota, Metazoa, Chordata, Mammalia, Primates, Galagidae. The record is from Ensembl.